This 425-nucleotide ribosomal RNA is filed under the name uncultured bacterium. RNAcentral describes it as "bacterial SSU rRNA". It matches the Rfam family "Bacterial small subunit ribosomal RNA", at positions 354 to 796 of the family's 1533-position model. The record is from RNAcentral.
GUGGGGAAUCUUGCGCAAUGGGCGAAAGCCUGACGCAGCCAUGCCGCGUGGAUGAUGAAGGUCUUAGGAUUGUAAAAUCCUUUCACCGGUGAAGAUAAUGACUGUAGCCGGAGAAGAAGCCCCGGCUAACUUCGUGCCAGCAGCCGCGGUAAUACGAAGGGGGCUAGCGUUGCUCGGAUUUACUGGGCGUAAAGGGCGCGUAGGCGGACAUUUAAGUCAGGGGUGAAAUCCCGGGGCUCAACCUCGGAACUGCCUUUGAUACUGGGUGUCUUGAGUAUGAUAGAGGUGUGUGGAACUCCGAGUGUAGAGGUGAAAUUCGUAGAUAUUCGGAAGAACACCAGUGGCGACGGCGACACACUGGCUCAUUACUGACGCUGAGGCGCGAAAGCGUGGGGAGCAAACAGGAUUAGAAACCCCAGUAGUCC